GUUCGACUCGGCGUACCCGCAUGAAAUGGCCUGCCAAGGGUAUGCACU
This 48-nucleotide non-coding RNA is filed under the name Prasinoderma coloniale. The record is from RNAcentral. Lineage: Eukaryota; Viridiplantae; Prasinodermophyta; Prasinodermophyceae; Prasinodermales; Prasinodermaceae.